This is a non-coding RNA of Bos taurus (domestic cattle), 72 nucleotides long. NCBI's taxonomy places the organism in Eukaryota, Metazoa, Chordata, Mammalia, Artiodactyla, Bovidae. The record is from Rfam.
UCCCUGGUGGUCUAGUGGUUAGGAUUAAGCACUUUCACUGCCAUGGCCCAGGGUCAAUCCCUGGUUGGGGAA